Molecule: ribosomal RNA, 700 nt
Filed under: uncultured bacterium
Lineage: Bacteria
Description: bacterial SSU rRNA
Rfam family: Bacterial small subunit ribosomal RNA
Source: RNAcentral
UAGCGGAAUGUAGUAUGUAGCGGUGAAAUGCAUAGAUAUACUACAGAACACCCAUUGCGAAGGCAGCUUACCAAACCAGCACUGACGCUCAGGCACGAAAGCGUGGGGAGCAAACAGGAUUAGAUACCCUGGUAGUCCACGCCGUAAACGUUGAUCACUCGUUGUUGGCAAUACACCGUCAGCGACUAAGCAAAAGCAUUAAGUGAUCCACCUGGGGAGUACGAUCGCAAGGUUGAAACUCAAAGGAAUUGACGGGGGCCCGCACAAGCGGAGGAGCAUGUGGUUUAAUUCGAUGAUACGCGAGGAACCUUACCCGGGCUUAAAUGUAGGGUGCAUUGGUGUGAAAACACCAUUUCCUUCGGGACUCCCUACAAGGUGCUGCAUGGUUGUCGUCAGCUCGUGCCGUGAGGUGGCGGGUUAAGUCCCGUAACGAGCGCAACCCCUAUCUUUAGUUGCCAGCAGGUAAAGCUGGGGACUCUAAAGAAACUGCCCGCGCAAGCGGUGAGGAAGGUGGGGAUGACGUCAAAUCAGCACGGCCCUUAUGUCCGGGGCUACACACGUGCUACAAUGGCCGGUACAGUGGGCAGCUCAUGCGCGAGCAUUUGCUAAUCUCUAAAACCGGUCUCAGUCCGGAUCGGAGUCUGCAACCCGACUCCGUGAAGCUGGAUUCGCUAGUAAUCGCACAUCAGCCAUGGUGCGG